Molecule: long non-coding RNA, 2416 nt
Filed under: Sus scrofa (pig)
Lineage: Eukaryota; Metazoa; Chordata; Mammalia; Artiodactyla; Suidae
Description: lncRNA (ENSSSCG00040022451.1)
Source: RNAcentral
ACACCCAAGGCAUAUAGAGGUUCCCAGGCUAGAAGUCGAAUCAGAGCUACAGCUGCUGUCCUACACCACAGCCACAGCAACACCAGAUCCAAGCCGCAUCUUCGACUUACACCACAGCUCAUGGCAACGCUGGAUCCUGAACCCACUGAGGGAGGCCAGGGAUUGAACCUGCAUCCUCAUGGAUGCUAGUCAGGUUUAUGAAACCUUUUAGCCUCCCCUGCACUGCUAUUCUUGUUUUCCCAUGCUCAUGUCCUGACUUCCCAAUGGUCAAGCAAGGCUGUCUCGAAAUGAAACGUGUGGCUUUCUUAAAGGAAAAGGCACGUGGCAGACGGAGAUUUGUCUGCCUCCAUCACCUGGUCCCACAUUGAGAAAGCACAGUUGUGCUUUUUAUUGGUUUGUGGUCCUCCUCGCUCUCAAAAGCCCCAGAAGAAGAGAAUGAGAAAAUACGAUAAGGCAAUGAAUAAAGGAAGAAAAAUCACCUCAUUAAACAUAAACAGCUCCCAGGAAAUUGAGGCUGAGAGAAGUGACACAGAUGGCCCCAGGUGGCAAGGACAGAGCAGAAUUCAAAUCCAGUUUCUGUCUGGUUCCAAGAACGGUGUUCAUGCUUUAAAAGGUAGGCAAAGGCUAGCUAGGAGGAAAGACAAUGAGGGCCCAGGUCCACCCGCAUUCUGGAGGGUUCUUCUCAUCUCACAGCCCCUUCAGCUUUAUUUGUGUUCCCCCAUCCUUCAUAAGAACAUAUGUUCCCACCCGGUUGAAAUAAGGCCAGUGGAAGACAGAAGCUGGAUUCUCCCAUCUGUUCCUUCUCUUAGGGAACUGGCAAGAGUGAUUAAGAUUCAAAAGGCUCAGGUUGCAAACUCACACCCAGGUGUCUUUGUAAUCUUAUCUUUUAAAGACAGUUAAAUCAGAUCCCACCAGAGAGGAGGCUGCCCUUAUUUCAAAAGAAAGGUGGAAAACAGGAACAAAAAUAAGUAGAAAGGAGAGCCCCUGACCCAACAUUUUGGCAGAUUCCUAAAAGACAGCCAGAGAAUGAGUGCAAAGAAUCUUAACCUCUCUCCUCCACGCUGAGAAGUACAAUCGCCCUGGCUGGCGUUGAUUGAAACUUGACCAUGUGCCUGGCAGGGUGCGAAGACGUUGACAGACAAGUUUUCAUUAAAUCACUGGAACUAUUUUUUAAAUGGGCACCAACCUUAUUGUCUCAGAUGAGGAGCCAGGGACAAAAAGGGGUGAAAUUGUUUGCUCAAGGCACGUAGAAAGCAGGAGGGAUGAAAUUAAAGAUGACUCAAGUGGUUCCAAAACACGAACUCAAAUCAUAACUUAUAAGGUUUUUGCAGACCAAGUUUCAAAUGCAAGGAGCUUAUAGGGACAGAGGGUUUCAGCAAACACUAGCAGGGAGGAGAGAACAAAACAGGGGUGGGAGGUAGGCAAUACAAAGUCCAUUACCAAGCUUGUUGAUAGGUAGAUGGAGCUCAUUUCCAUCAGAGAACCCAGGAAGUGAGCAGAGAAUGCAGGGUUUUGCACCAGGGAUAAGGACAUCAGGACCAGUUUAGGGACCAGCUAGCCAAAGACGGCCCACUGCUUGUUUUUGCAAAUAAAGUUUUAUUGGAACACAGUCACACCCAUAUGGUACUGUCUUUGGCUGCUUUCCUGCUACAAUGGCAGAGUUAAGUGGUUGUAACAGAGACCAUAUGGACCCCAAAUCCUAAAAUAUUUACUACACUUGGUCCUUCAUUGGAAAAUACUUGCCAGCCCCUGAUCUCAAGCUAUCCCACCUAAGAGGCAGGAAUGCCAGGAUAUUUAAAUCCUGAAUCAUGCAGUGAAGGCUGCUAGGGGAAGGGUGAUCUGAUUCCCUGGCUCUUCCAACCUGGCAUCUGUGUGGGCAGAGCUGGCUCCAGAGGCUCCCAAAAGACGCAUGCAGAAGACAAAAGCGGCUGCCUUGAAAUGGUAAAUGCCCCCAGGGGUUCCGGUAGGGUGGGCACCAAUAGCCUUUGUUACAAAAGUAAACUUGAAAACUGCCAACUGUCACCCAUCAGCCACAGAUUUGCUUUGUUUGGCCAUCUGGUGUUUUCCAAAACUGAAUGAGGAAGAGACUUAUUCUUUGAAAAUCCAAAUAUCCAUCUUUUCCUUAAAAAUCAGAAAAUCGGGCACCAUUCGUUCUCCUCCAUUCCCAUAUGGCCAUUUAGAAAUGGCAGGCAUUGUCCAGAUGAAUUGACCAGCUUGGAUGGACUGGAUUAAGUGCCUGGCUCUAGGUAUGCAUCUGAGUUUGAGAUCCCUGGUGAACACAUUAUCACCACCCUCAUAGGCUAAAAGAGGUUACAUGACUUGCCCAAGGACAUGUGACAAGUCAGUGGAUGAGCUGGAACUUGGCUUCCCCUUUGCUUUCCUGAGAAGUCUGAGAUCACAGCGCCCUCCUGUCCCC